ACGGGUGAGUAAUGCCUAGGAAUCUGCCUGGUAGUGGGGGACAACGUCUCGAAAGGGACGCUAAUACCGCAUACGUCCUACGGGAGAAAGUGGGGGAUCUUCGGACCUCACGCUAUCAGAUGAGCCUAGGUCGGAUUAGCUAGUUGGUGAGGUAAUGGCUCACCAAGGCGACGAUCCGUAACUGGUCUGAGAGGAUGAUCAGUCACACUGGAACUGAGACACGGUCCAGACUCCUACGGGAGGCAGCAGUGGGGAAUAUUGGACAAUGGGCGAAAGCCUGAUCCAGCCAUGCCGCGUGUGUGAAGAAGGUCUUCGGAUUGUAAAGCACUUUAAGUUGGGAGGAAGGGUUGUAGAUUAAUACUCUGCAAUUUUGACGUUACCGACAGAAUAAGCACCGGCUAAUUCUGUGCCAGCAGCCGCGGUAAUACAGAGGGUGCAAGCGUUAAUCGGAAUUACUGGGCGUAAAGCGCGCGUAGGUGGUUUGUUAAGUUGAAUGUGAAAUCCCCGGGCUCAACCUGGGAACUGCAUCCAAAACUGGCAAGCUAGAGUAGGGCAGAGGGUGGUGGAAUUUCCUGUGUAGCGGUG
RNAcentral lists this ribosomal RNA (585 nucleotides) under uncultured Pseudomonas sp. RNAcentral describes it as "bacterial SSU rRNA". It matches the Rfam family "Bacterial small subunit ribosomal RNA", at positions 102 to 683 of the family's 1533-position model. Lineage: Bacteria; Pseudomonadati; Pseudomonadota; Gammaproteobacteria; Pseudomonadales; Pseudomonadaceae. The record is from RNAcentral.